This 504-nucleotide ribosomal RNA is filed under the name uncultured bacterium. RNAcentral's name for it is "bacterial SSU rRNA". It matches the Rfam family "Bacterial small subunit ribosomal RNA", at positions 17 to 518 of the family's 1533-position model. The record is from RNAcentral.
UUAUGGCUCAGGAUGAACGCUGGCGGCGUGCUUAACACAUGCAAGUCGAGCGAGAAGCUCGUGAACGAUUCUUCGGAUGAGUGAUCGAGUGGAAAGCGGCGGACGGGUGAGUAACGCGUAGGCAACCUGCCCCAUACAAAGGGAUAGCUACUGGAAACGGUAAUUAAUACCUCAUAACACGGAGAGACCGCAUGAUCUUUCCGUCAAAGAUUUAUCGGUAUGGGAUGGGCCUGCGUCUGAUUAGCUGGUUGGUGGGGUAACGGCCCACCAAGGCGACGAUCAGUAGCCGACCUGAGAGGGUAAACGGCCACAUUGGAACUGAGACACGGUCCAAACUCCUACGGGAGGCAGCAGUGGGGAAUAUUGCACAAUGGGGGGAACCCUGAUGCCAGCAACGCCGCGUGAGCGAAGAAGGCCUUUGGGUCGUAAAGCUCUGUCCUGAAGGAAGAAGGAAGUGACGGUACUUCAGGAGGAAGCCCCGGCUAACUACGUGCCAGCAGCUGC